GAUCCUGGCUCAGGAUAAACGCUGGCGGCGUGCUUAACACAUGCAAGUCGAACGAAGUUUUUCUUUCGGGAGAAACUUAGUGGCGGACGGGUGAGUAACGCGUGGGUAACCUGCCCUGUACAGGGGGACAGCAGCUGGAAACGGCUGCUAAUACCGCAUAAGCCCUUAGCACUGCAUGGUGCAUAGGGAAAAGGAGUAAUCCGGUACAGGAUGGACCCGCGUCUGAUUAGCCAGUUGGCAGGGUAACGGCCU
Molecule: ribosomal RNA, 252 nt
Filed under: uncultured bacterium
Lineage: Bacteria
Description: partial 16S ribosomal RNA
Rfam family: Bacterial small subunit ribosomal RNA
Source: RNAcentral